CUCUUGUCGUCCUCCUCUUCCUCCUCCUCUUCCUCCUUCCAGUAUUCCCAACUGUGUAUCUGUCUGUAUCUGUUUUCAUUUUCCCAUGGAAAUGCUUUGGAACUCUGUCUAUUUCUUUGUAAUAGAUCUGGAAUGUGUUCUAAUUGGGAAUAUUUCUGUGUGAGUGUUCUGUUUGAGUGUUCUGUUCGAGUGUUCUGUUCGAGUGAUCUGUUCGAGUGUUCUGUUUGAGUGUUCUGUUCGAGUGAUCUGUUCGAGUGUUCUGUUCGAGUGUUCUGUUCGAGUGAUCUGUUCGAGUGUUCUGUUCGAGUGUUCUGUUCGAGUGUUCUGUGUGAGUGUUCUGUUUGAGUGUUCUGUUCGAGUGUUCUGUGUGAGUGUUCUGUUCGAGUGUUCUGUUCGAGUGUUCUGUUUGAGUGUUCUGUUUGAGUGUUCUGUUCGAGUGUUCUGUUCGAGUGUUCUGUUCGAGUGUUCUGUGUGAGUGUAUUCGGGUGUGCAGUAUUUUUUGGACUGAGUUGCUCUCUCUCUAUCUCACUCUCUCUCUCCCUCUCUCUCCCUCUCUCUCUCUCUCUCUCUCUCUCUCUCUUUCUCUGUCUUUUUGUCUCUCUCCGAUUUGUGUGACAGUUGAGUUAGUAGGCUGGAACUAAUUGAACUGAAAGUUUUGCAAAGUCAACAAAACUUCCCCACACCCACCCAGUCACCAUUCAACAACAGCAAUCCCCACCCUUUAACUCCAAAUCAAAUCAAAUUGUAGUUGCCACAUUUGUCACAGGUAUAGACUAACAGUGAAAUGCUUACUUACUUACGGGUCCUUUCCAACAAUGCAGAGUUAAAUUACUUAAAAAUGUUGUUUUUUUUUUAAAUAACUUAAAAAUGUUCAGUAGUGACACAAGGAAUAAAUAGUAAUAAAUACACAGUGAAUAACAAUAACGAGUAAAAAUAACAUGGUUAUAUACAGGAAGUACAAGUACCAGUUAAUAAAAUGGCUAUAAACAGGAAGUACCAGGUAAUAACAUGGUUAUAUACAGGACGUACCAGAUAAUAACAUGACUAUAUACAGGAAGUACCAGGUAAUAACAUGGUUAUAUACAGGGAGUACCAGGUAAUAACAUGGUUAUAUACAGGAAGUACCAGAUAAUAACAUGGUUAUAUACAGGGAGUACCAGGUAAUAACAUGGCUAUAUACAGGAAGUACCAGGAAAUAACAUGGCUAUAUACAGGGAGUAUAAGUAGGGAUUUGAGGUAGCUAUGUACAUACAGGUAGGGGUAAAGUGACUAGGCAUCAGGAUAGAUAAUAGACUGUAGGCAGUAUACUGUAGGUAGGGGUAAAGGAUAGAUAAUAGACAGUAACAGCAGUAUACUGUAGGUAGGGGUAAAGGAUAGAUAAUAGACAGUAACAGCAGUAUACUGUAGGUAGGGGUAAAGGAUAGAUAAUAGACAGUAACAGCAGUAUACUGUAGGUAGGGGUAAAGGAUAGAUAAUAGACAGCAACAGCAGUAUACUGCAGGUAGGGUAAAGGAUAGAUAAUAGACAGUAACAGCAGUAUACUGCAGAUAGGGUAAAGGAUAGAUAAUAGACAGUAACAGCAGUAUACUGUUGUUACUGUCUUUUAUCAGUAUUAUCAGCAGUAUACUGAGUCCAGUCAGUGUGUUGGUAGAGUCCAGUCAGUGUGUGGGUAGAGUCCAGUCAGUGUGGGGGUAGAGUCCAGUCAGUGCGGGUAGAGUCCAGUCAGUGCGGGUAGAGUCCAGUCCGUGUGUGGGUAGAGUCCAGUCAGUGUGGGUAGAGUCCAGUCAGUGUGGGUAGAGUCCAGUCAGUGUGUGGGUAGAGUCCAGUCAGUGUGGGUAGAGUCCAGUCAGUGUGUGGGUAGAGUCCAGUCAGUGUGGGUAGAGUCCAGUCAGUGUGGGUAGAGUCCAGUCAGUGUGGGUAGAGUCCAGUGAGUGUGGGGGUAGAGUCCAGUCAGUGUGUGGGUAGAGUCCAGUCAGUGUGGGUAGAGUCCAGUCAGUGUGGGUAGAGUCCAGUCAGUGUGGGGGUAGAGUCCAGUCAGUGUGGGGGUAGAGUCCAGUCAGUGUGGGUAGAGUCCAGUCAGUGUGAGGGUAGAGUCCUGUCAGUGUGGGGGUAGAGUCCAGUCAGUGUGGGGGUAGAGUCCAGUCAGUGUGGGGGUAGAGUCCAGUCAGUGUGGGUAGAGUCCAGUCAGUGUGGGUAGAGUCCAGUCAGUGUGGGUAGAGUCCAGUCAGUGUGGGUACUACACAACACAACACACACUAAACAACACACAAUAUACACUACACAAUACACAACACACAACACACAACACACACUAUAGAAUAUACAACACACACUAUAGAAUAUACAACACACAAUACACACAUUGGUGGAGGUUUUCUGCCUGUAUUAGACUGUCUUCUAGGGCAGUCUGCGGUAGAGGGCUGUCUUCUAGGGCAGUCUGCGGUAGAGAGCUGUCUUCUAGGGCAGUCUGUGGUAGAGAGUUGUCUUCUAGGACAGUCUGUGGUAGAGAGUUGUCUUCUAGGGCAGUCUGCGAUAGAGAGCUGUCUUCUAGGGCAGUCUGCGGUAGAGAGUUGUCUUCUAGGGCAGUCUGCGAUAGAGAGCUGUCUUCUAGGGCAGUCUGUGAUAGAGAGCUGUCUUCUAG
This 2641-nucleotide long non-coding RNA is filed under the name Salmo salar (Atlantic salmon). RNAcentral's name for it is "lncRNA (ENSSSAG00000118262.1)". The record is from RNAcentral. Lineage: Eukaryota; Metazoa; Chordata; Actinopteri; Salmoniformes; Salmonidae.